GACUCCGUCUAGCCCCGCUCCGCGAGAAGAGGCUGAACUGCCCCAUCUGCUUCUAAUUUCUUUCUUUCUUUCUUUCUUUCUUUUUUUCCCCUCUUUUCCUUUUCUUCUUUUAAAUAUACGUUUGGAAAUUUGCCGGGCGUGGUGGCGGGCGCCUGUAAUCCCAGCUACUCGGGAGGCUGAGGCAGGAGAAUCGCUUGAAUCCGGGAGACGGAGGUUGCAGUGAGCCGAGAACGCGCCACUACACUCCAGCCUGGACGACGAGAGUGAUACUCCGUCUCAGUCAAUCAAUCAAUCAAUCAAUCGUUUGAUUUUCGUUUUAUGCUUUUACUUCCAAAUUUAUAUUUAUUGCAAAAAAUGUGGAAUAUAACAAAGUGUAAAGGUGAAACUGAAAUAACCCGAAAUUAUAUUUCCCCCUCUGUGGUUUUUUUUUUUCCGUCUCUGUGUUUUUCAAUGUUUUUCAGGCCUUCUGUCUUGAGCUCGUAUUACUGCUGUUCACUGAUGUAUUGUAAAAGCGUAAAACCGGACGUGACCCAAAUGUCUAUCAAAGGAGACUGAUGAGAGAAAUAAACGGAUUUGUUCACACAACGGCUUCUACAGCAAAGAAACAGAAGGCCCCACCGGCUUCCCGGAUGGAGCCCGCGCCCCGGUCGACAUUCUCGGACUGCAGAG
This 669-nucleotide long non-coding RNA is filed under the name Homo sapiens (human). Its description in RNAcentral is "non-protein coding lnc-DNAJC8-1:7". The record is from RNAcentral. Lineage: Eukaryota; Metazoa; Chordata; Mammalia; Primates; Hominidae.